UUUCCGUAGGUGAACAUGCGGAAGGAUCAUUCAUAAUAAAGUGUUUUAUGGCACUUUUUAAAAAUCCGUAUCCACCUUGUGUGCAAUGUUAGAUCUCGUCAAUCUUGGCGAGAUUUUUAUACAUCAACUCAUUCUUUAACUAAUUUGUCUGAAAAAUAUUAUGAAUACUUAAUUCAAAAUACAACUUUCAACAACGGAUCUCUUGGCUCUC
Molecule: unclassified non-coding RNA, 211 nt
Filed under: plant metagenome
Description: partial contains small subunit ribosomal RNA, internal transcribed spacer 1, and 5.8S ribosomal RNA
Source: RNAcentral